Molecule: long non-coding RNA, 284 nt
Organism: Amphimedon queenslandica
Lineage: Eukaryota; Metazoa; Porifera; Demospongiae; Haplosclerida; Niphatidae
Exons: 4
Source: RefSeq, a predicted model, not a curated record
UGGGACUUUGGGGUAGGUUAAAUUUACGGAGAUACGACUGACCCACGUUGAAAUCAAGCUUACCUCUUAAACCAUGUCUAUCCCUGUCACUCAUGAAGAAAUAGAUCAAGAGAUUGAAAGGUUCCAAGCCAAGAGACAGAGGAUUGAACAAGAACUCAAUGGCCAGCAGCAAAGCAGCAAGAUUGGUUUUGGUUCUCAAGGACAUUUCGAUAAGGAUUUAUAUGCACCAGCUGGGAGCAAGUACGAGGGAUUUGUGACUUCAAUUGGUACCAAUGAUGAUGAGG